This 1282-nucleotide long non-coding RNA is filed under the name Manacus vitellinus (golden-collared manakin). RNAcentral describes it as "lncRNA (ENSMVIG00005004525.1)". Lineage: Eukaryota; Metazoa; Chordata; Aves; Passeriformes; Pipridae. The record is from RNAcentral.
UUUGGACAGGCACCUCUCAGGGACACGGAGUUUUACUACUACCAUUUUUUGUUUCAGUGUCUAUGUGCAGUUCUACUUUGAGGAUGUUCAGGUUCUCCAUGCUGCUGAAGGACAACUUCAGAAAGGCCGUAGGAGUGAAAACAGCUCCUCUUUGAGGAAGAAGAAAGAUGACAAUGUAACACCUGAGCUGGAAGCUCCGGAGGCGAAAGUGCUGAAAUUGGAGGAUCCCAAGUCAGAUACUCACAGAGAUGAGAACUGUCAGGGGGGGCAGAGUAGCACUGGAACAACCAGCUGUGUAUCUCACCUGUUCUUGGUUACCCAGAAAGAGGGGCUUAUGUUACGCAAUUACCAACUACCCAGAGAAGAUGGAGGACAGGAGCUGCAGCACAGUUUCCAGGCCACAGUGCUGUGGCUGGGCAGACCUCGGCUGUGGAGCCACCCUAGAGAAAUUGGGAAUCUACCAGAGCUGGAGGACACCAGUUGUGAUGGAGAAGAGGGCGUGACACAGCAAGAAGCACUACUCCUCUUUAUGGGAAAGUCUCUUCGAUGGUUUCCAUUUCUGCACCAGGAUGGACUGUAUCGCUUCAUUGUGCCCUGCUGCUCGGACUUGGAAGUGUUUGACAAGCUCUGUUUUCCACCUGUGCCAGCAACCUUCCUGACCAGGCCAUCUUGCCCCCUGUGCCUGCCUGUCCAAGAUACCUGGCACUUACAGCAUGAGACCUGGAUCUCCCAUCUGCCUGAACGCCAGCUGGGAGCCAAGAUGGUGCUGACAGGCAUGGACCAGAGAAUUUCCUCCAUUCCAGAAGUGCUUAGCAGCAGGUAUGUGGGUCUCCCCCAAAUUACAAGUGACUGUGUCUUAGGGAAUGGGUCUGUAUUCAUUUUUAUUGCAAACAGUGCUAUGUUAAACAGCAAUUAACACUAAGAAUAUGGUUUGGAAAUCUUACUGUGUGGAAGCAGUCCACACCUCUCCCCUCCUAGUUAUCAAAGCUAACCGGAUUUCUGGACACUGCAAAAUAGUGUCUAGAAAAUGUUUCAGCUGCUGCUGGUAUGGACUAGGAUCCAAAGUUCUCUGCUAAAUUCCUGGCAGAAGUGGAAACAGGUACAGCAGGGAAAAUGAGACUGAAUAUAUGACUUAUUUUUGUCAUUUGUAGAUUAUUUUAGCAUAACUCAAAAAAUACUAGAAUUAGAAGCUUUUCUGUUCAAAGCGUGUUUAAUCUGGGGUGAUAUGCAUGCACACUGGAAUUUUCACUAGUGCCUUACAAUAAACUGUUUUUCUUUCCUC